UGGUGGAGUGAUUUGUCUGCUUAAUUGCGAUAACGAACGAGACCUUAACCUGCUAAAUAGACAGGCUUACUUUUGUAGGUCGCAGUCUUCUUAGAGGGACUAUCGGGUUCUAAACCGAUGGAAGUUUGAGGCAAUAACA
RNAcentral lists this ribosomal RNA (139 nucleotides) under uncultured eukaryote. RNAcentral describes it as "partial 18S ribosomal RNA". It matches the Rfam family "Eukaryotic small subunit ribosomal RNA", at positions 1299 to 1458 of the family's 1831-position model. The record is from RNAcentral.